Dermacentor albipictus is the source of this 1846-nucleotide long non-coding RNA. RefSeq lists it as uncharacterized. Lineage: Eukaryota; Metazoa; Arthropoda; Arachnida; Ixodida; Ixodidae. The record is from RefSeq and is a predicted model, not a curated record.
AAAUGCUUAUAACAUACGUCCACCUCCUCAUAUACUCCAUCUAUCAUCUGUCAAUAAACUCACGAACUCGCCGAUUAAUCACUGCAUGCAUCGCUGUCACCAGCCGCUAUGCGCGAAUUUCCAUAACCUCCUACAGACACUGCUCAUUGUACCCUUACCCCUGGGCAUAAAUCGACAGCACAUCUGCCCCUAUUUGAAGCAACCUCAAUGGCGGAAAUCCUCGCAAGGAACACAGUCAAAGGGAAACUGAAUGUUCUGCAAGCUAUACACACCAAAAAGAAAGUCAAUGGUCACCUCCGUGAAAAUAGGUCAUAUGAGUAAUCUCUAAGCUCAUCCCUACCAUAGACUGUUUGCAAGUUUACCAGGCAUUGUAUGGAGGAGUAUAGGCCCUUUAUAGAAAAAACUGCUUGUAGUCCAUGGUGCCAUAGUCAGCAAAACAGGUAGGCUCAAAUGUGGUAAUACGAGCUCUUCUGCAUCUAAAUUAGUAUUAGCUGACACACAUUUUCAAAUUCAAUCUCUCCAACACGCUUUCUCACAUAUAAAAAGAUGGCACUUAGCAUCUGCGAAGUUUGGGAACCAUAAAGAUAUGUGAGCUUCAUGCUUAAGUUGAAUCUUGAAAUGCCUUACUUGGCGUCAUUGGCAUUGUUGUGGCAUCAUAACACAUUGCGAAUUUUUCUGAUAUUGUGCAGCAGUAAGGCUAACUGCUCAUUAAAAAAUUUAUCAGGAGCGUUGCACAUAUUUCUCCAGACUUCUGACUCCUCACAUGUGGCAGUAACAUGAUUGCAGGAACAGAGGGAGCCAAUGUAUUAUGAAAUAAUGACCCACCCACCUAUUGGGUGCUGAAACCAAAGCUGUUUUACAGAAACAAGCACUAUUAUACUAAAUUACUUGGGAUGCUCCGAUGCUUGCUAGUAUUCUCACAUUUGAAGAGUGAGUAUUCGUUUAAUGACAAACACAGGUAACGUGCCGAGUCCCAACUUCUUUGUUUCUCUUCUGGUCAUUACAACUUUUAUGUUCAGAACAGAAAAAAGAGGGCACAUUCCUGUUUGCCCAUCCAUUAGCUUUGUCAUCGCUCUUUUCAAAUGAGCUUGGCAGCUUUGGUAACCAAGCAUAGCAUUGCUCCCUCUGCGAACAAUUUUGUUGAAACAAAAUUGAAUGAAUUUGAGAAUGAUCGAAAGAGUUGAGUACCUACACUUUGUGUAACAGUCACUAACUUCAUGUCAUUUUGUUUUGCAUGCUUCAUGCAUUGAAGGGUUUUGGCAAAACACGUUGGCUUAAAAUUUCUCGCAUAGUGCCUGCCGUGGGAUGCACUCAUCUGCAGUAGCUAUUCUAUAUUAGCAGACGGUAUUUGUGUAUGAGUCAGUAGUAAAGAAGCCAGUAGUACCUAAAAUGUCUAUAUUAAGGAGGCACUUCAUGCUUAACAAGAAUGUAAUACUGGGUGUACUGGAACAGAUUCAUCAUGUACAGCGCACAGAAGACGGGGAUGAGGAAAAGUAGAGCAAACGCAAGUGCUGUCUUUCCAGUACAGGUUUAUUUGAAGUGUAAUGAUUAAAGAGGCCCAAUUGAACAUGGAAAACUAGAAAUCCUAAUAAAGGUGUCUGGAGAAUGCACUAGGAGGCACACUGAUCAGUGCAGUUGUGAAAUUGCUGAAGUUUUCCAUGUUGUAAUACUUUAUGUUAAGUAGGCAGUGGGAGGCAUGGCUUGCAUACGAGGGAAAGGAGAACCAAGUGGCUCUCCUGGACCAAGCCCAGCGAGCCGCUCGCGCCAGUGGAACCCUGGACUAAGGGCCCAACCACGCUCGCCUACUUUUCUUUUUGAAAUAAAGUUUCUUUCCUUCCUUCCUUGA